CCAGAUGACUGGGCGGUCGCUGUGGAUGUGAGAUCUCUCACGAAGCAGAGGAAAGUCCGGGCUCCACGGUAAUAUGGCGGCGGGUAACUCCCGCCGGGGGUGACCCCAGGGAUAGCGCCACAGAGAGCAGACCGCCGGACUCCGGUUCGGCAAGGGUGAAAGGGUGCGGUAAGAGCGCACCGCGUUUCCGGCAACGGACACGGCAUGGCAAGCCCCGUCAGGAGCAAGACCAAAUAGGAACGGCGCGUCGUACCGGGCAACCGGCGACAGGGCAUUACCGCCCCAGACCGUUCGGGUAGGUUGCGUGAGCCGUCCAGCAAUGGCCGGCCAAGAGGAAUGAUCGCCCACGCGGAGGCAACUCCGCUGGACAGAACCCGGCUUACAGGUCAUCUGGCCCA
This 398-nucleotide RNase P RNA is filed under the name Asticcacaulis sp. AC466. RNAcentral describes it as "Bacterial RNase P class A". It matches the Rfam family "Bacterial RNase P class A". From Rfam's summary of the family: Ribonuclease P (RNase P) is a ubiquitous endoribonuclease, found in archaea, bacteria and eukarya as well as chloroplasts and mitochondria. Its best characterised activity is the generation of mature 5'-ends of tRNAs by cleaving the 5'-leader elements of precursor-tRNAs. The record is from Rfam by way of RNAcentral. Lineage: Bacteria; Pseudomonadati; Pseudomonadota; Alphaproteobacteria; Caulobacterales; Caulobacteraceae.